RNAcentral lists this non-coding RNA (30 nucleotides) under Rattus norvegicus (Norway rat). The record is from RNAcentral. Lineage: Eukaryota; Metazoa; Chordata; Mammalia; Rodentia; Muridae.
UGUCAGCACUCAUGCAAUAUUGUAUGGCUA